AGUCGAACGGGAGGAAAAGAGAAGCUUGCUUCUUUUUGAAUCUAGUGGCAAACGGGUGAGUAACACGUAAACAACCUGCCUUCAGGAUGGGGACAACAGACGGAAACGACUGCUAAUACCGAAUGUGUUCCGGAGACCGCAUGAUUUCCGGAAGAAAGGAUGGCCUCUAUUUAUAAGCUAUCGCCUGAAGAGGGGUUUGCGUCUGAUUAGGCAGUUGGUGAGGUAACGGCCCACCAAACCUACGAUCAGUAGCCGGUCUGAGAGGAUGAACGGCCACACUGGAACUGAGACACGGUCCAGACUCCUACGGGAGGCAGCAGUGGGGAAUCUUCCGCAAUGGACGAAAGUCUGACGGAGCAACGCCGCGUGAGUGAUGACGGCCUUCGGGUUGUAAAGCUCUGUGAUCGGGGACGAAUGGCUGGUAUGCUAAUACCAUAUCAGAGUGACGGUACCCGAAUAGCAAGCCACGGCUAACUACGUGCCAGCAGCCGCGGUAAUACGUAGGUGGCAAGCGUUGUCCGGAAUUAUUGGG
This 532-nucleotide ribosomal RNA is filed under the name uncultured bacterium. RNAcentral describes it as "bacterial SSU rRNA". It matches the Rfam family "Bacterial small subunit ribosomal RNA", at positions 60 to 558 of the family's 1533-position model. The record is from RNAcentral.